AGUCGAACGGAACUUCUUUAAAGGAUUUCUUCGGAAUGAAUUUGAUUAAGUUUAGUGGCGGACGGGUGAGUAACGCGUGAGUAACCUGCCUCUAAGAGGGGAAUAACAUUCUGAAAAGAAUGCUAAUACCGCAUAACAUAUAUUUAUCGCAUGGUAGAUAUAUCAAAGAUUUAUCGCUUAGAGAUGGACUCGCGUCCGAUUAGUUAGUUGGUGAGGUAACGGCUCACCAAGACCGCGAUCGGUAGCCGGACUGAGAGGUUGAACGGCCACAUUGGGACUGAGACACGGCCCAGACUCCUACGGGAGGCAGCAGUGGGGGAUAUUGCGCAAUGGGGGAAACCCUGACGCAGCAACGCCGCGUGAAGGAUGAAGGUCUUCGGAUUGUAAACUUCUUUUAUUAAGGACGAAGAAAGUGACGGUACUUAAUGAAUAAGCUCCGGCUAACUACGUGCCAGCAGCCGCGGUAAUACGUAGGGAGCAAGCGUUGUCCGGAUUUACUGGGUGUAAAGGGUGCGUAGGCGGCUUUGCAAGUCAGAUGUGAAAUCUAUGGGCUCAACCCAUAGCCUGCAUUUGAAACUGCAGAGCUUGAGUGAAGUAGAGGCAGGCGGAAUUCCCCGUGUAGCGGUGAAAUGCGUAGAGAUGGGGAGGAACACCAGUGGCGAAGGCGG
Molecule: ribosomal RNA, 668 nt
Filed under: uncultured bacterium
Lineage: Bacteria
Description: bacterial SSU rRNA
Rfam family: Bacterial small subunit ribosomal RNA
Source: RNAcentral